Molecule: transfer RNA, 71 nt
Filed under: Geotrichum reessii
Lineage: Eukaryota; Fungi; Ascomycota; Dipodascomycetes; Dipodascales; Dipodascaceae
Also listed under: 2 other names
Description: Galactomyces reessii tRNA-Asn
Rfam family: tRNA
About the family: Transfer RNA (tRNA) molecules are approximately 80 nucleotides in length. Their secondary structure includes four short double-helical elements and three loops (D, anti-codon, and T loops). Further hydrogen bonds mediate the characteristic L-shaped molecular structure. tRNAs have two regions of fundamental functional importance: the anti-codon, which is responsible for specific mRNA codon recognition, and the 3' end, to which the tRNAs corresponding amino acid is attached (by aminoacyl-tRNA synthetases). tRNAs cope with the degeneracy of the genetic code in two manners: having more than one tRNA (with a specific anti-codon) for a particular amino acid; and 'wobble' base-pairing, i.e. permitting non-standard base-pairing at the 3rd anti-codon position.
Source: RNAcentral
GUUCUUAUAGUUUAGAGGUAAAACAUGGCACUGUUAAUGCUUAGUCAUUGGUUCAAUUCCAAUUAAGAACG